CAGGAUGUUCGACUUGUUGUGU
This 22-nucleotide microRNA is filed under the name Ciona intestinalis (vase tunicate). RNAcentral describes it as "Cin-Mir-4073_3p (mature (guide))". The record is from RNAcentral. Lineage: Eukaryota; Metazoa; Chordata; Ascidiacea; Phlebobranchia; Cionidae.